This 253-nucleotide ribosomal RNA is filed under the name uncultured bacterium. RNAcentral describes it as "partial 16S ribosomal RNA". It matches the Rfam family "Bacterial small subunit ribosomal RNA", at positions 524 to 776 of the family's 1533-position model. The record is from RNAcentral.
UACGAAGGGGGCGAGCGUUGUUCGGAUUUACUGGGCGUAAAGGGCGCGCAGGCGGCGACAUUUGUCAGGCGUGAAAGCCCCGGGCUCAACCUGGGAACAGCGCUUGAGACUGGCACGCUCGAGUUCGGGAGAGGAUGGUGGAAUUCCCAGUGUAGAGGUGAAAUUCGUAGAUAUUGGGAAGAACACCGAUGGCGAAGGCAGCCAUCUGGACCGACACUGACGCUGAGGCGCGAAAGCGUGGGGAGCGAACAGG